CUCCUCUUGUUUAAAUAAGAGGUACCAUCUGCCCAAUGCAACAUUGUAAAUGGCCGCAGUAUUCUGACUGUGCUAAGGUAGCAUAAUCAUUAGUCUUUUAAUUGAAGGCUGGUAUGAAUGAUGAGACGAGAAAAAAGCUGUCUCUAAAAUAUUUUUUGAAUUUUAUUUUUAGGUGAAAAAGCCUAAAUAAUUUUGAAGGACGAUCAGACCCUUUGGAGCUUUUUGUUGGGGCGACAGGGAGUUUAAAUAACACUCUUUUUUACAAACACAAAUAAUUGAAUAAUUGAUCCUUAACGAGAGAUUAAAAGACUAAGUUACCCUAGGGAUAACAGCGUAAUCUUCCUGGAGAGUUCUAAUCGAUAGGAAGGUUUGCGACCUCGAUGUUGGAUUAAGAGAUUAGCAAGGUGUAGAAGUUUUGUUGGAGAGUCUGUUCGACUCUUGAUUUCUUACA
Molecule: ribosomal RNA, 451 nt
Filed under: Daphnia queenslandensis
Lineage: Eukaryota; Metazoa; Arthropoda; Branchiopoda; Diplostraca; Daphniidae
Description: partial 16S ribosomal RNA
Rfam family: Bacterial large subunit ribosomal RNA
Source: RNAcentral